This 253-nucleotide ribosomal RNA is filed under the name uncultured bacterium. RNAcentral describes it as "partial 16S ribosomal RNA". It matches the Rfam family "Bacterial small subunit ribosomal RNA", at positions 524 to 776 of the family's 1533-position model. The record is from RNAcentral.
UACAGAGGGUGCGAGCGUUAAUCGGAAUUAUUGGGCGUAAAGGGCAUGUAGGUGGUUUUAAAAGUUUGAUGUGAAAUCCCUGGGCUUAACCUGGGAAUUGCGUUGAAAACUGUAAGACUAGAGUCGGAGAGAGGGUAGUGGAAUUUCCGGUGUAGCGGUGAAAUGCGUAGAUAUCGGAAAGAACAUCAGUGGCGAAGGCGGCUACCUGGAUCCAGACUGACACUGAGGUGCGAAAGCGUGGGGAGCAAACAGG